CAGGAUUAACGCUGGCGGCGUGCCUAACACAUGCAAGUCGAACGAAAUAUCUUCGGAUAUUUAGUGGCGAACGGAUGAGUAAUGUACAGGUAAUGUACCUUCGUACUGCGAAUAACAAGCUGAAAAGUUUGCUAAUACGGAAUAGUUUCCUUCGAGGGCAUCCUUAAAGGAAUAAAGAUUUAUCGUGCGGAGAUCAGCCUGUAUCCUAUUAGUUAGUUGGUGGGGUAAUGGCCUACCAAGACGACGAUGGGUAACUGGUCUGAGAGGAUGAGCAGUCACAUUGGAACUGAGAAACGGUCCAAACUCCUACGGGAGGCAGCAGUGAGGAAUUUUGCGCAAUGGGGGAAACCCUGACGCAGCCAACGCCGCGUGAGUGAUGACGGCCUUCGGGUUGUGAAGCUCUGUCGUGUGUGACGAGUAGGGACGGUAACACACAAGGAAGCCUCGGCUAACUACGUGCCAGCCGCUGC
This 470-nucleotide ribosomal RNA is filed under the name uncultured bacterium. Its description in RNAcentral is "bacterial SSU rRNA". It matches the Rfam family "Bacterial small subunit ribosomal RNA", at positions 25 to 518 of the family's 1533-position model. The record is from RNAcentral.